Molecule: ribosomal RNA, 400 nt
Filed under: uncultured Mollicutes bacterium
Lineage: Bacteria; Bacillati; Mycoplasmatota; Mollicutes
Description: bacterial SSU rRNA
Rfam family: Bacterial small subunit ribosomal RNA
Source: RNAcentral
UCUUGACAUACCAUUGACAGGUCUAGAGGAUAGACCCUCCUUCGGGCAAUGGAUACAGGUGGUGCAUGGUUGUCGUCAGCUCGUGCCGUGAGGUGUUGGGUUAAGUCCCGCAACGAGCGCAACCCUCAUUGUUAGUUACUACCAUUCAGUUGAGGACUCUAAUGAGACUGCCAACGACAAGUUGGAGGAAGGUGGGGAUGACGUCAAAUCAUCAUGCCCUUUAUGACCUGGGCUACAAACGUACUACAAUGGCCAAUACAAAGAGAUGCGAAGCGGUGACGUGGAGCGAACCGCAGAAAGUUGGUCUCAGUUCAGAUUGAAGUCUGCAACUCGACUUCAUGAAGGCGGAAUCGCUAGUAAUCGCGAGUCAGCAGAUCGCGGUGAAUACGUUCCCGGGUUU